AGCAAUAUAAGAAUAUAAGAGAUCUUACAGAUUUUCAAGUUCAGGAGUAUUAUAGGGCAAAAGGAGUGGACGCAUAGGAUUUAAGUAUCUGGGAGAAGGAAAUUAGUGAAAAUGAGGUAUUGGUUAUGACACCCCAACUUCUUUUGGAUGCUCUAAGAAAGGCUUUCUUGAAGAUGGAAUCAAUAUGCUUGAUGAUUAUUGAUGAGUGUCAUCAAGCAAUUGGUAACCAUCCCUAUGCAAAAGUAAUGAAGAAACAGGGGAUCACAAGAAAUUGUUGAAGAGGACAAGAGAGAGUUUCUUGUGUUGAAGAGUUGCUUGUGAACCAAUUGUUGAAGUUGAAUACUAUUGAGGUUGAAGGUAAAGCGAGUUGCAAAGAAAAGAUGAAGAUUAAGUUACAAGUACAAUUGUUAGCUUUACGUGUUUGGAUUAAUUUAGAAUUUUUUAAAUUUACAUUCUAUGGAUUAUGACUGUGUAAAAC
Long non-coding RNA from Arachis duranensis, 478 nucleotides. RefSeq lists it as uncharacterized. The record is from RefSeq and is a predicted model, not a curated record. Lineage: Eukaryota; Viridiplantae; Streptophyta; Magnoliopsida; Fabales; Fabaceae. The transcript is spliced from 3 exons.